CAAUAGCGUAUAUUAAAGUUGUUGCAGUUAAAAAGCUCGUAGUUGGAUUUCUGGUCGGAAGCUCCUGUCCUCUGAUGAGCGUACAAGUGCGUCCUACCAUCCUUCUGUUAACCUUUAAGGCUUUCGCGGCUUUCUAGGGGCUCAGAUAUUUUACCUUGAGAAAAUUAGAGUGUUUCAGGCAGGCUAGCGCCGGAAUACAUUAGCAUGGAAUAAUGGAAUAGGACUUUUGCCUCUUCUGUUGAUCAUGAGGCUCGAGUAAUGAUUAAUAGGGAUAGUUGGGGGCAUUAGUACUUAACUGUCAGAGGUGAAAUUCUCGGAUUUGUUAAAGACUAACUUAUGCGAAAGCAUUUGCCAAGGAUGUUUUCAUUAA
Molecule: ribosomal RNA, 370 nt
Filed under: uncultured eukaryote
Lineage: Eukaryota
Description: partial 18S ribosomal RNA
Rfam family: Eukaryotic small subunit ribosomal RNA
Source: RNAcentral